UGGGGAAUAUUGCACAAUGGGCGAAAGCCUGAUGCAGCAACGCCGCGUGAGCGAUGAAGGCCUUCGGGUCGUAAAGCUCUGUCCUCAAAGAAGAUAAUGACGGUACUUGAGGAGGAAGCCCCGGCUAACUAUGUGCCAGCAGCCGCGGUAAUAAGUAGGGGGCUAGCGUUAUCCGGAAUUACUGGGCGUAAAGGGUGCGUAGGUGGUUUCUUAAGUCAGAGGUGAAAGGCUACGGCUCAACCGUAGUAAGCCUUUGAAACUGGGAAACUUGAGUGCAGGAGAGGAGAGUGUAAUUCCUAGUGUAGCGGUGAAAUGCGUAGAUAUUAGGAGGAACACCAGUUGCGAAGGCGGCUCUCUUGACUGUAACUGACACUGAGGCACGAAAGCGUGGGGAGCAAACA
This 401-nucleotide ribosomal RNA is filed under the name uncultured prokaryote. RNAcentral's name for it is "bacterial SSU rRNA". It matches the Rfam family "Bacterial small subunit ribosomal RNA", at positions 355 to 774 of the family's 1533-position model. The record is from RNAcentral.